CAAAAUAGAUUUCAUAGUUGGAAUUUUCAUUUACAUUGAAUUAUUAUUUGUGCAAUUCAAAAUAUUUUGA
Molecule: transfer RNA, 70 nt
Filed under: Trigonopteryx hopei
Lineage: Eukaryota; Metazoa; Arthropoda; Insecta; Orthoptera; Trigonopterygidae
Description: tRNA-Val
Source: RNAcentral